Molecule: ribosomal RNA, 491 nt
Filed under: uncultured bacterium
Lineage: Bacteria
Description: partial 16S ribosomal RNA
Rfam family: Bacterial small subunit ribosomal RNA
Source: RNAcentral
AGUGAACGCUGGCGGUAGGCCUAACACAUGCAAGUCGAACGGCAGCACAGUAAGAGCUUGCUCUUACGGGUGGCGAGUGGCGGACGGGUGAGGAAUACAUCGGAAUCUACUUUUUCGUGGGGGAUAACGUAGGGAAACUUACGCUAAUACCGCAUACGACCUACGGGUGAAAGCAGGGGAUCUUCGGACCUUGCGCGAUUGAAUGAGCCGAUGUCGGAUUAGCUAGUUGGCGGGGUAAAGGCCCACCAAGGCGACGAUCCGUAGCUGGUCUGAGAGGAUGAUCAGCAACACUGGAACUGAGAAACGGUCCAGACUCCUACGGGAGGCAGAGGUGGGGAAUAUUGGACAAUGGGCGCAAGCCUGAUCCAGCCAUACCGCGUGGGUGAAGAAGGCCUUCGGGUUGUAAAGCCCUUUGUUGGGAAAGAAAAGCAGCAGGUUAAUACCCCGCUGUUCUGACGGUACCCAAAGAAUAAGCACCGGCUAACUUCGUG